CCCGGGCGUCGAACAGUCAGCU
RNAcentral lists this non-coding RNA (22 nucleotides) under Arabidopsis thaliana (thale cress). Lineage: Eukaryota; Viridiplantae; Streptophyta; Magnoliopsida; Brassicales; Brassicaceae. The record is from RNAcentral.